UUUAAAAUGGUGCCAGGGAGAUUCUGCUUGGUAGGACUUCAGUUUGAACCCAUCUCAGUUCCUUUUCUAGAAUCCCACAGAACAUCAGCUGGCCAAUACAUUACAAAAGCAAGCUCUUUGUGUUCAGAAGAGGGAAGAAAGAGGAAGAAUACUUAUUCUCAAAAGACAUGACAAAGUUUAUUUGAGAAUGCAAAAGUGAAGAGUGGAAAAAACUGGCUCUGCAGAGCAAGCUUGGGCUGAGUAAAGAGAAAAAGAGGAUUAAAAACAAAAAUAAAAGUAUACUUCGCACCUGGGAAAUGCAGCAUGGGCUAUCACCGAAAGUUACAACAGCCUAGAGUUUUAGUGUUUUGAGAUGAGUUCUGGAUAUUGGCUGUACAACAACAUGAAUUUACAUAAACACCACCAAAC
Molecule: long non-coding RNA, 408 nt
Filed under: Fukomys damarensis (Damara mole-rat)
Lineage: Eukaryota; Metazoa; Chordata; Mammalia; Rodentia; Bathyergidae
Description: lncRNA (ENSFDAG00000028496.1)
Source: RNAcentral